Molecule: ribosomal RNA, 1239 nt
Filed under: Triticum aestivum (bread wheat)
Lineage: Eukaryota; Viridiplantae; Streptophyta; Magnoliopsida; Poales; Poaceae
Description: partial small subunit ribosomal RNA
Source: RNAcentral
AUGCGGACCCUCCAAGUCUUUGGGCCUGUUGGGGAUACUGAGGGGAUCCCUCUUCUGUCAACCUUCAAAAAUUUACGGGUACUCGAUCUGGAAGAUAAUGACAAUUUGAGAAGCCACCAUCUGAAAGGCAUUGGAGGGUUGGUUCUGCUAAGGUACCUGGGGCUUAGAGGGUCUGCUAUCCGUGCAUUACCAGACGAAAUAGGAAAGCUGGAGCACUUGGAGACGCUAGAUGUCAGGCACACUAACCUGAGAAAUCUGCCUGCAUCUAUAGUUAGAUUGGAAAGGUUGGUAUGCCUACUGAUUGAAGAUGCCGUGGAGAUGCUGAGCAAUAUCCUUGUAAUGCAAGGACUACAAGAAGUAUCAACGAUCAGGGUCGACAACAUCGAGUCACUCCAUGAGGUGGUGGAGCUGCUGGCUCGGUCGGAGAGGCUGAGCAUCCUUGGCUUGAGCUUUGACGGACUAAGCCCAUCUCUGGACAGUGCACGUGCAUUCACCGAUUUAUUGAGGGCGGUUGGACAGUCUAAACUUCGGUCCCUAUCUCUGCAUUGUCUUCAUGGUGACUGGAUUGGCCUACUGGACUCGAGACCAUACCAGCUGCGAAGAUUUGAGGUGUCUAUACCUGUUCCAGUCUUGGAAAGUACUGUAUUUAUUAUUCCCUGCUGUAUCACCCACUUGAAUAUUGAAGUGGCUCAGUUGGGAGAGGAAGGUCUCAUUGUGAUCGCGUCCAUGCCCCAGCUUGUCCUUCUCAAGUUAGCAUCUUCAGGACCUGCUGCUGCCAUGAUGGACACGGACACAUCCUUACGAAAACAGAGAAGAAGAGCGAGAAUUCGGAGCGGAGCCUUUCUGUGUCUUAAGGUGUUCUGGUUCACAUGCAAGGCUGGUGGGAAUGAGGUGCAGUUUGAUCCAGGAGCCAUGCCACAGCUGCAGGGGCUGCGGCUCCACUUCAACACUCUAGAGACGCUGUCCCUUUAUGGAGAUUUUGAUUUUGGCAUUGAGCAUCUCUCUAGUCUCAACAGAAUCCAUGUGACCUUCACAUGUGAGGAUACUGCCGCUCCAGAGGUGGUGCAUGCAGAGGCUGCCAUCAAACAGCAAGUAUCUCAGAUCUCCUCCGCCAACACACCAACAAUAGAGUUCAGCAGAGAGAAACCCAGGAUGCUCGAGGAGAAAAAGAAGACGGUGGCCAUGAUCACCCAGAAAAGUAGCUUCAGUAGAUGGUUGAGGGGAAAAAGGAGAGGAUAG